ACGGAAGGCAGCAGUGGGGGAUAUUGCACCAUGGGGGAAACCCUGAUGCAGCGACGCCGCGUGAGUGAAGAAGUAUUUCGGUAUGUAAAGCUCUAUCAGCAGGAAAGAUAAUGACGGUACCUGACUAAGAAGCACCGGCUAAAUACGUGCCAGCAGCCGCGGUAAUACGUAUGGUGCAAGCGUUAUCCGGAUUUACUGGGUGUAAAGGGAGCGUAGACGGCAUGGCAAGCCAGAUGUGAAAGGCAGGGGCGCAACUCCUGGACUGCAUUUGGAACUGUCAAGCUAGAGUAUCGGAGAGGUAAGUGGAAUUCCUAGUGUAGCGGUGAAAUGCGUAGAUAUUAGGAGGAACACCAGUGGCGAAGGCGGCUUGCUGGACGAUAACUGACGUUGAGGCUCGAAAGCGUGGGGAGCAAACAGGAUUAGAUACCCUGGUA
This 434-nucleotide ribosomal RNA is filed under the name uncultured Lachnospiraceae bacterium. RNAcentral's name for it is "partial 16S ribosomal RNA". It matches the Rfam family "Bacterial small subunit ribosomal RNA", at positions 341 to 792 of the family's 1533-position model. Lineage: Bacteria; Bacillati; Bacillota; Clostridia; Lachnospirales; Lachnospiraceae. The record is from RNAcentral.